UGAAGCAAGGGAGAGGGUCCCAGGGCUGCAGAACUGGAAGCAGAGGCCAAGGAGGGAGACGGUGCUAUAUCCAAGCUCCUCCUCGACUCGGCGGUGGCUGGGACGACCCCAGCCUGACUUGACUCAUCAGGCUCUCCCCUUCCCAUCUUCACCCUGAGUCCAACCAGGUGGUGGACACCUGGUCCCUCCAGGGGGACGGGCCUGAAGGCGUUGGCCUGUUUAGCAGUCAGGUCCUUGUCGUGGGUGUUUUUGACAACUGCUUUUUGGUUGACUUAGGAGUAUCUGUCCCAAAUCAGAGGUUGAGGAAAGUCCCUGCCUGGCGGAGCCCUUUUCCUGUGGCCCCAGCCUGGGUGCGGGAGGGGGGUGUCUUCUCUUGGGCAACUAGGAGACUGGGAAGACACAGAACCUCUUGGGGAAGCAGUCGGGAGCCCCUGGGGAGGCGCUGAUGCGGUUGGCUGCCUCCCAAUCUCAAAGCACAAUGUGGGUUUGGGGACCAAAGGCCAGGAACACAUCCAGCUGGGGGACCUGUGGCCAGGGGCGUGGGGAUGGUGGGUGGAGCGCCACCGCCCCCAGGAGGGCCUGGAGCAGCCUGUGGUCACUCUGCUGAAUUUUCCUUCCCAAACAAGGCGGGCCAGUCCCUGGAAUCUCGCUCCUCCCGUCCUAAAAAUAGGGGCCUUUUUCUUACCCCCAGAGGGAGGAGGGACCGUCUCACUGGUGCUGAGGGACCCAGGGCUGCUGGGCGUCCCUGUCCCUUACCACAACCACCCAUCUCUAGGAGAGCACAGGACCCUGAGGGCUGGGCUGGGUCUCUGGGCUUUUGUACAGUUCCAGAGGUCUUUCAGCCAAUCGAGCCCCAGGAAAGAAGACCCCGUCAGAGCUGGAAUGUGAAUUCAACUCUUGUGGACCAAUCACAAAAACGCAGGAAGCCUGCUGGUGAGAAAGGGAAUUCUCCCAAAACUGCUUCCUGUUUUCUCCCCUUGUGUCCCUCCAGGGAAAACUAUUGCUUCAUUUCUGCCUUUCCCCCCUCACAUAUGCACUUUUGGGCCUUUUUUUAAAGCUGGAAGAAAACAAAACAAAACACCGCCCCACAACCUGUAUUUAAAAAGAAACAGAAAUGACCGUGUGAAAUUUGCCUCUGUCCAGACAUUUCAUCCGUGUGUGUGUGUGUGUGUGUGUGUGUGUGUGUCCACCGUUCAUCUUUUUAUAUGGGGUUGUCUUAUUUCAGUCUGUUUUGGUCCCCUCCCUGGUGGGCCUGUGCUCGGGAUCAAAUCUCUCUGACCUGUUAUGAUUCUGAACAUUUGACUUGAACCACAAGUGAAUCUUUCUCCUGGUGACUCAAAUAAAAGUAUAAUUUUUACCUGCGGA
Carlito syrichta (Philippine tarsier) is the source of this 1365-nucleotide long non-coding RNA. RefSeq lists it as uncharacterized. The record is from RefSeq and is a predicted model, not a curated record. Lineage: Eukaryota; Metazoa; Chordata; Mammalia; Primates; Tarsiidae. The transcript is spliced from 2 exons.